UACGGAAGUAACUUUUAUUUUGACAACCUGUCCAUGAUUAUAGCUUUACCGUUACCCGUUUCACUACGCUGUUAACGUUAGUGACAGUGCCAUGGCAACGGCGACGUGAGCGCACGCGAUGAGAUGCUGGCGCUCGUGAAGCACCGGUAACGCUUCCAGAACUUCACCUGUGGGUCUCGGUAAAAGCGCAGCGAGAUGUCCCUGUUUAAGGCGCGGGAGUGGUGGGCGGCCGUGCUGGGCGAGGGGGAGGAGUUUGACCAGGGCUGCCUUUGUGUCGGAGAUGUGGACAACAGCGGAAGUGGUUACGAUAAGGUGGUGGUGGGCAGCUACAUGGGAAUGCUGCGGAUUUUUGCCCCCCACGCCACCAGGCCGGCCGAGCAGAGCGGAGUGGACGCCCAGCUGCUGGAGGUCCAACUGCGAGACCCCAUCAUCCAGGUGGAAGUGGGCAAGUUUGUCUCGUGCUCGGAGCUGCUUCACUUGGCCGUGUUGCAUCCCAGAAAACUAUCCAUCUACGCCGUCUCAGGUACUGCUGGAAAUGUGGAACAUGGGGAUCAGUACCAGCUCCGACUGGUUUAUGAGCACAACCUGCAGAGGACGGCCUGCAACAUGACCUACGGCCCCUUCGGAGGGGUCACUGGACAUCACUUCAUUUGCAUCCAGUCCAUGGACGGAAUGCUGAUGUUCUUCGAGCAGGAGAGCUACGCGUUUGGACGCUUCCUGCCCGGAUUUUUACUCCCAGGGCCCCUGUGUUACUGCGCCCGAACCGACGCCUUCAUCACCGUCUCCUCCUCCCGCCAGGUGGAGUGCUACAGGUACGAGACACUAGCAGUCGCCACGGACGCAGACACCAGACAGAACUCGGAACAGCAGAGCAAGAGCUCUGGGAAGAGGCUUACGGCUGAGUGGACACUAGUGUUAGGAGAGCAGGCGCUGGAUAUCUACGUCCCCUCCGUCUCUCCAUCAGCCUCCUCCAUCUUCAUACUUGGGGAAAGGAACCUGUUCUGCCUCCGGGACAACGGCCAAAUCCGCUUCAUGAAGAAACUCGAGUACAACCCCAGCUGCUUCCUUCCCUAUGCCUCAGUUUCCGAGGGUACAACCAACGUCCUGCUGGCCAACCAUAACAACAUGCUGCUGGUGUAUCAGGACACAACGCUGAAGUGGGCGGCUCAGCUCGCCUGUGUGCCCGUGGCCGUGCGCGUCGCUAAUUUCCCGGAACUCAAGGGCCUGGUGGUGACCCUGAGCUCUGAAGGUCAUCUGCAGUGCUCCUACAUGGGCACGGAUCCCUCCUUCUUCACCGCGCCGAAGGUGGACUCCCGAGAGGUCAACUACGAAGAGGUGGAGACUGAGAUGAAGGCUCUCCAGAAGGUCAUCCGUGAAGCCACCAGGAACCAGGACAUCAUCCCCAAAGCUGAAGCAGAGGAUGACCUGAUGGUGACGGCUGUUGUCUCCACCAACCUGGAUGAUGUCUCGCAAGCCAUUAUCCCGGAGCUCAACGGCAUUGCUGUCCCUUCAGUUACAGUCAAGAUUAAAGUGAGCAGCCGCUUUGCUGUCCAGAGCGCGAAGAUGAGUGUGUGUGUGCACCCACCUCUGGCUGUCACUCAGGACCAGUUUGUAUUAGACUCUUUAGGGAGUGGCUCUCAGGUAGUCGUGGCAUUCUCAGCUUUUCUGAACGGCCACUACACUCCAGCUGACCUGACCGGAGACGUGGCUGUGUCCUACAGUUCACCCACAGAGCUGAACCCUGCAGGAGUUCCGCGAGUAGCCCAGUGCAAGUUCGUGCUGCCUCUCUGCCUGGUUUGCUGCCCCACCACUGCCUCCAAGAAUGCCAAGUACAAGAUCACUGUGGACACCAACAAACCUCCCAUCAACCUCAGUGAAGCCUUCCCAGAAUUUUCAGGGAAGGCCGAGGAUAAGGAGGGUAACGCCCUAGCCUUCCAGUUUAUCGCUGGCUCUCGGGUCACCGUCCUGGCCUCCAAAACAUCCCAGCGUUACAGGAUCCAGAGCGAAAGCUUUGAGGAUAUCUGGCUGGUUGCCAAGGAGUUGGUGCAACGUUUCGAGCGGCAUUUUGCCAAGCUCGGAGUCAAAGAUUUCCGCAACAGCUUUUCCGGCCCGAUCCCACUAACUGAAUACUUUGAGACUGUGGACCACCACUUUGAGCUCCGAGUGAACGCACAGAAGUAUCAGGACCUGCUUUCAGAGCGAGCCGUCCAGUUCAGAGCCAUCCAACGGCGACUGCUCACACGCUUUAAAGACAAGACUCCAGCACCGUUACAGAACCUUGACACACUCAUGGAGGGCACUUACCGUCAGGUGAUAGCAUUGGCGGAUGCAGCGGAGGAGAAUCGAGCGUGUUUGGUGCAGGCCUUCUCCAGGUUAUGCAGCGCCACGCACCUGCUCAUCCUUCUGGUCUCUCUUUGGCAGGGACUCAGCAUCGAUCAAACCGCUAUCCUGGAGGCGACGCUACUGCCACUGCUGCAGGAUACACCACAACUGGGCUGGGAGGAGAGCGUGGACGCAGCUGUGUCUCAUCUCUUGAGAACGUGUCUGUCGAGAAGUCCCAAGGACCAAGCCAUUAGCCUGAGCACAUCCCAGCUGAGCAUGCCCAAAGAUACCUCACGCCUCAAGAAACACAUCACGCUACUCUGCGAUCGCAUCGGCAAGGGAGGCCGCCUGUCUCUUUCCUCUGAAGCUAACGCUCCAACACCUGUUAUGAUGCCAGCGUGCUGCGAGGUCAUCCCUGAGUCGAUCGCUGAGGAGGAAGAAGAUCCAGCCUUGCAGCAGGAGGCCACUGAGAAGAUCAUCAAGAAGAAGCAACCCUCAAAGAAAGUGAAAAGCAAAACAGCCUUGUGGUCAUUAGAAGAGAAUGUUAACCACUGAGCCGCCAUCGUACACGUCACACUGCCUAACGCCAGCGAUGGAAGAAACCCACAUCUGGAGCCUCCAGCUCUUUUCUUGAUGGGUGUGCCUCUAUGUGACUCUGUGGUUCUCUCCUUUUUUUUUUUUUUGUUGGUGCUACUUUGCCCUGCGUCUUCAGGCAUCUCAUGGUCCAUCUGGUUCUACUCUCUUCUCCUCCUGCCUCGCAGCCUGAUUGGGCAUAAUAGCUGGCGAAUCGCAAUUUUUCCGCCCAUUAUCAACUUGAGAUUUUGCCAUAGUGCUCCAAAUCGUUUUUUUUUUUUUAAUCAAAUGAAUUAAAGCUGUGUGCUUUGAAUCCUUGAAUCACAGCUUUAGAAAAGAAGCGUAUGUGUGCGUUUGUGUGCGUUUGUGUGUGAGAGAGAGUGUGUGAGCGUGAGGAGGGUAUUCUCCUCCGGGAUCUAGUACAGAAUAAAAAAAAAAAAACAAGCUCAUAGGAAAUGCACACAGUGUUAUUUUUUAAACACAAUUUAUUUCACAUUGUGUGAGGUUAAGUGUGUGCAGGUGGUUUCAUGUGUAGCUUGCGUGUGUGUUUAUGUGCAAUCAUUCUGGGCAGACAGUCAAACCGUGCAUCAUAUUGCACAUUAAUAGGAUUGUAUGUUGUCCCAUUGGCUCUAAAAAUUCUGACAAAGCCUUAAAGCUGCCCUCUCUGUUUGUAGUUUGCAGUGACGUCUCUUAUUGGCGUACACAUGCACAUGCACACACAUGGAGGAAUAACGUCAUAAUCCACUUGGAAAGAUGUUUACUUUGGUUUGGAGUCAAACCCAUGUUAUGAGCAAAGCUCUCAGUUUCACUCACACGCCAUUUUUUUCUCUAAACCACAUCAGAAUUAAAAGCUCUUUAUUUGUCAAUAGAAGUACACAGGGUUUUGACUUUGCAUAUCAGCGCACCAAUCUACAAAAUAUACCAAGUGAUGACAAAUUAAAGGAAAAUCCGACAUCAAGUAAAAUGUCGCCAGAACAGCUACAAGUCUCUGGAACCAUAUUGAAGCGAUGAACACUGUUCUUCCAAAUGAUAUUCCCACAGGAUGGUGAUGUGGUUAAAACUAGCUAUGAGGACAUGGUGGUCCAGAUCCCAGUAGUUUCAGAGGUUGUUUAUUUGUUUAGUUAACCUCCCAGGUAGCCUAUCUUCAAUUGUCAAAUUCAGUACAGAAACAAUGACGUCCCGCUAAUAUGGCAGAACAUGUCCUACCAUGAGAAGAAAUGUUCUAACAAUUCCAAGACUACCCAUUCAGCAGUGAUGAUUCAUUCUCAACUGACCUCAGAGCAGAACUUUAGGUUUGUCCAUAGACGUAAUCGUCCACUAUAUUCAGAGAAGCAAGAAGCAACUGGAGCCAGAGCAGCUUGUAGAAGACUGAGAUUUUUUUCAAUUCUAUACAAAUUAGGUAUUAUACAUUCAAGUGUCAUAGUGACAAAUCCAAACAAUUGGCUUGACUGAUUCCUCAGACCAAUCCUUUGGCACCAGUCAAAACUUUCGUCAGUUCCCCACUCACAACUUUACAUAUAUGAAGCUAGUACAGUUAUCUUGCUUUGCUAAUCUGCGACAAAGUUAUUUCAAAGCUAAGCACAUUACAUAUAAAUCAAACAACCAGUUUUCACACUAUUUCAUUUGUAUUUAACUAGGUAUAUUGCAAAUACAGUUUCUUAUCAGAAACAAAACAAAAAAAAUGCUGGACAGGCCAUGCCUACAAGAGACAAACUACAAGCAGCACUUGUUAGUUUGAAUGUAGGGUAAUACUUCACUCCAAAGUCUCCCAUAAGUGUUCAAUUGGGUAGAGAUCUGGUGCCUGAUGGAUGGGGGUGGGGUCAUCCUGGAUGAGACUACGCCCAUCAGCAUAGAAAUGUUUCAUCAUAGGAUAAAGGUGAUCAGUGAGAAGAACUUUGUUUUGAUUUGCAGGUGACAAGUGCUAAGUGGACCCAAACCAUGUCAAAAACAGAGCCUAUUUUUUCUAUUUAAAUUGUCAUCCGUCUGUAUGUAAAAUGAAACUGGAAGUGGUCCGUAGUAGAAAUUUGGUGUAGUGUAGCGUAGUGUAGUGUAAAACUUUUGGAAAAAAAACAAUGGUUUAUAAAUUUGGUCUAAGAAAAGCUUCCUUUACAGUUCCAACACAGAUGUAUGUGAGUGAACAUGUGCAAAAUCCACAAGUCCUAAUGUGGUUAAUCCACCCAGGCGUCGUGCCUAACGAGCAGUGCCUCACGCGGGAGGUGGAAGAGGUUGGGAGUCGCCAUGUGCGGUGCAUGGGGAUUGUUAAGACUCUAUUACACAGUUAUUUUCCUGUCAAAAGUAAUCAUAAGGAAAGUCAGCAAUCAGAUGUGAAUAUAUGUACUGAAAAUCUUUAGAAUAAACAUUUUACAAUUGCGAAUACCAGUUCACAUAAUUAAAACUUUCUCAUUAGUGUAGCAUUUUAAGAGAGCUGAGGGAAUGGGACUGCAACACACACUUUUAUAAAUUACAGCUACAAACUAUCAAAAAAAUGGUCAUUUUUUAAACCAGUAGUGUGAGAAAUAAAGUACACUGAAUGUGUGAAUAAUGAUUAGAGAAGUGUACAUAGAGUUUAUGUUAAAAGUUAAGUAAUGAACUAAAUAGAAAUAAAGGAGCUUUGGUAUAAAAACAUGAUUUUUGUGUUGCCAUAUGAAUCAUUUUGACAAGAAACUAACUCCAUACCUUUCAGACACAAAUACAACCGGAAGAAUGGUGCCUCAGAACGUGUGCGUGUGUGCGUGUGUGUGUGCAUGUGUGUGUGUGUUUAGCAGCCCUUGCCCACCCAGCGAUUCCAAUUAAAACUACGAAAACAAAAUAAAAGGCAAAACAAACAUUCAAAAUCAAGUGCACUUUUCCACAGUGAUGCCAAUUAGUGGCAAUGCCACACAGUUCGCAAGCAAUGAUGCAGUGAAGCAGGAAAUGUUCCCAAACAGAUUAAGCACAAAUUUAAAAUUUGAUUAUGUGCUUUGGUGGAUAUAUUGACUUAAUUUUUUUUAAAAGGUUAGAGAAAUGCAGCAGAGAAAUCAGUCAUUCUGUCAGGUGUCCACAAAUCUGCCUCUCACUUAAAAGACGGGUUUCAAACAUGUAGUGCAGUUUCCAAAGCACAUGUCCAAUGUCAGUUGAUGCAGGAUCAUGUUCGAAUGGUUCUUUAGGCAGGUGAGAACAUAGCAAGCACACUUGGGUGCAGACCAAAGCCAACCAAUCUGCGAGAUUCUGAGCGAAGUGAUCUCAGUCUUGUUUAAGUCAAACUCUAGAGUAAUUUGGUCACUUGCCAAUUCCCUCCAUCCAGAUCUCCCCAGUCAUACAUUAGCUACCAAUAGGCAGGGUGAAGGCUAAUACAUGCUUCCUCCGAGACACGACGUCAGCCAACCGCAUCUUUGCCUAUGAACUCUUGUGCUACGUCACAAGGCAGCAUAACACACUUGGAGGAAAUUGUUAUCUGCCCUCUUCCACAUACAUUAGCUCACAGAUGCCCAUGAUUGGCUAGUAUCACUGAUUAACAGAUGAGAAAGUGUGUCCCUCCCACCCAGAGAUGUGAUGUCGUUGGGAUUCGAACUUGCAAUCUCCCGACGAUAGGGCAAACACAUUUCUUGCACUGGAACUUUUUACGGGGAAAGUAGUUUCACCGUAUGAUCACCUAACAAAUCUUGUUAUAAUUGGCCUGUUUUCCUAGUUCAUUUCCAUGAAAUUAUAUAAGUGUGAUAAGUAUUCACAUGAAAGGUCUGUUGGCCCAGUUAUGUUUCAAUGUCAUUAAAUUGGAUUCCUUGUUGAAUUCCUGUUGCCUUUGUGAUUUGCCAAGCUCCACCAAUGCGCCAUUUUACUGAUUAGUGAUUAACUAGAGUUUUCAUUGCAGUGUUUUGUAAUUUUAUAUUAUUAUGACAACAGUGUCAGAAUUGCACUCCUUCUCUAUGUGCUUUUGCCACAAAAAGUGUGAUGGCUUAAGUUUAGAUUAAGAUUUUAAACAUCAAGGGAUCAGCGGAGGCCAAACAAGCCUGUAGCACUCCGGAUCUUCCACAGAGCUCUGUGCAAACUCUCUAAACAGCUUUUGAUUCUCUUCCUCUUUGGAUCCCACCUGUGCCAAAACAACAAAGCUUCCUUUACCACCCCCACCACUCAUAAAGAACUGAGGAGAACCAGGACACGUCAGACGGUUUGAAACAGGCUCCGUCAUCUCCCUGGCCUCAGAGAAAAAACAAAAAUGGAAAUUAUUAAUCUCUAAUUAGUUGUCUGUAAUGCAGAUCUUCAGAUGAGGCCCUUUUUUUUUUUUAAAGGAGAGUGCAUCUGCUUGGACAUGCCCUUCAAUAACCAACCCCCCUACCUAACCCAUCACAGAGAGAAUGAUUAAAAAAAAAAUUUCACACAUUUCCCUUCCCAGCACACACGCACGCACAAACACACACACAGUCUGACAUAAAGAUAAUUAGGGAGAUGAAACCACCUAACAGGGUUCAGGACAGGCAGGAAGCAUCUCUAGUGGAGUUGAAAGGCUUCAAACGGUGGCUUUGGAUAUGAGCUACUGCACUCCUUGGGUGGAACACAUGAAAGGUAGAUGAAACUGAGAUGAAAGGGAGAGUGUCUUUUUUCUUUCAGUCUCUUCCCCCUCUCAAACACACACACUUAUACCGAUCGACCUGCUAUUACAACACCACCAGCCGAGCUGAGGGACCAGCUCUCAGAAAGUAAUGCAAUGGUUUGAGUUGAGGAUGAUAAAUCAUAGCAUGGACAUUGCUAUUGUGAUGGAUUGGUGGGUGGUGACACCAUACGUGUUUCAGUUUGAUGUCUGCUUAGAAGUCUGCUCAAACUAGAGAGAAAUCUGCAUGGUUCCACUUUCUCCACUAUUCCUGUGAGAGCACAGGUGUUUUCAACCGGUUCUCACUCUCUAUCCUUGAGGCUGGAAGCGAGGGAUAGAGAAAGUCUGCCCAGAAACCCAGGCCAAACCCAAACAGCGCAAACCUGAUUAGUCCAACAUCAGUGUUGCAACAUCACCACUCUAUGUAUUCUGCUUUGGUUCUGAUGCCUGACCUGGCACCAAAACCUCCAGCGCAAAUAAAAUUCCAUUAGUCAUCGUUAUCUGAUUCAGUCAGACAUGACCUUUGGAAUCUUAGUGAGAAGAUAGACAGCACUACACCACUUCAGCUGAAGAUUUCGCAGCUAUCAUCAUAACAGCUAUCAUCUGCUCCAGUUGUUAAUCCUCUACACGAUUCUCUAGGGAGUCAUAGGGAAGUGAGAGAGUAAGCGAGAACCUACGUUGAAACAGAUGCUAGACUGGGAGGCAAACGCCAAGAGGGGAAGUAUCUACCCAAGGCUCGUAUUUUAUGACCUUGCUGUCCUGGUUGGGGAGAAUUUGAAGGUUCAUCAAAAGAAAAGAAAGAGAAGGAUUCAGAGAAGGAGUUAAAAGAGAUCAAGAAGGACUCAAAAGAGCCAACCAAGGAGAAAGAGUCAAAGAAGGAGUUCAAAGAGUCGAAGAAAGAAUCGAGCAGGGAGAACG
Molecule: RNA transcript, 8377 nt
Organism: Pangasianodon hypophthalmus (striped catfish)
Lineage: Eukaryota; Metazoa; Chordata; Actinopteri; Siluriformes; Pangasiidae
Gene: bbs9
Gene name: Bardet-Biedl syndrome 9
Exons: 24
Source: RefSeq, a predicted model, not a curated record